This 253-nucleotide ribosomal RNA is filed under the name uncultured bacterium. RNAcentral's name for it is "partial 16S ribosomal RNA". It matches the Rfam family "Bacterial small subunit ribosomal RNA", at positions 524 to 776 of the family's 1533-position model. The record is from RNAcentral.
UACAGAGGGUGCAAGCGUUAAUCGGAAUUACUGGGCGUAAAGGGCGUGUAGGCGGCCAACUAAGUCCGACGUGAAAUCCCCAGGCUUAACCUGGGAACUGCGUCGGAUACUGGAUGGCUUGAAUCCGGGAGAGGGAUGCGGAAUUCCAGGUGUAGCGGUGAAAUGCGUAGAUAUCUGGAGGAACACCGGUGGCGAAGGCGGCAUCCUGGACCGGCAUUGACGCUAAAGCGCGAAAGCCAGGGGAGCAAACGGG